CUCCUGAUAGCUCAGUUGGUAGAGCGAUGGACUGUAAUUGAAAUUAUCUGAUAAUCCACAGGUCGCGUGUUCGACUCACGCUCGGGAGA
This 89-nucleotide transfer RNA is filed under the name Xylaria arbuscula. It matches the Rfam family "tRNA". From Rfam's summary of the family: Transfer RNA (tRNA) molecules are approximately 80 nucleotides in length. Their secondary structure includes four short double-helical elements and three loops (D, anti-codon, and T loops). Lineage: Eukaryota; Fungi; Ascomycota; Sordariomycetes; Xylariales; Xylariaceae. The record is from Rfam by way of RNAcentral.